This 57-nucleotide transfer RNA is filed under the name Bos taurus (domestic cattle). It matches the Rfam family "tRNA", at positions 8 to 63 of the family's 71-position model. From Rfam's summary of the family: Transfer RNA (tRNA) molecules are approximately 80 nucleotides in length. Their secondary structure includes four short double-helical elements and three loops (D, anti-codon, and T loops). Further hydrogen bonds mediate the characteristic L-shaped molecular structure. tRNAs have two regions of fundamental functional importance: the anti-codon, which is responsible for specific mRNA codon recognition, and the 3' end, to which the tRNAs corresponding amino acid is attached (by aminoacyl-tRNA synthetases). tRNAs cope with the degeneracy of the genetic code in two manners: having more than one tRNA (with a specific anti-codon) for a particular amino acid; and 'wobble' base-pairing, i.e. permitting non-standard base-pairing at the 3rd anti-codon position. RNAcentral also lists the same sequence under 4 other names. The record is from Rfam by way of RNAcentral. Lineage: Eukaryota; Metazoa; Chordata; Mammalia; Artiodactyla; Bovidae.
UGGCUCAGAUGGUAUAGCAUCUGCCUACAGUGCAGGAGACCCAGGUUCGAUCCCUGG